RNAcentral lists this ribosomal RNA (518 nucleotides) under uncultured Paraglomus. Its description in RNAcentral is "SSU rRNA". It matches the Rfam family "Eukaryotic small subunit ribosomal RNA", at positions 569 to 1089 of the family's 1831-position model. The record is from RNAcentral. Lineage: Eukaryota; Fungi; Glomeromycota; Glomeromycetes; Paraglomerales; Paraglomeraceae.
AGCAGCCACGGUAAUUCCAGCUCCAAUAGCGUAUAUUAAAGUUGUUGCAGUUAAAAAGCUCGUAGUUGAACUUCAGGCCUGGCUGGACGGUCCGCCCUCUGGGUGAGCACUGUCUGUGGUCGGGUCCUACCUCCUGGCGAAGCGGCAUGGCCUUAACCGGCCGUGGCGGGGAACCAGGACUUUUACUGUGAAAAAAUUGAGUGUUCAAAGCAGGCACGCGCUUGAAUACAUUAGCAUGGAAUAAUGGAAUAGGACAAUGGUUCUAUUUGUUGGUUUCUAGGACCGUUGUAAUGAUUAAUAGGGAUAGUUGGGGGCAUUAGUAUUCAAUUGUCAGAGGUGAAAUUCUUGGAUUUAUUGAAGACUAACUACUGCGAAAGCAAUUUGCCAAGGAUGUUUUCAUUAAUCAAGAACGAAAGUUAGGGAUCGAAGACGAUCAGAUACCGUCGUAGUCUUAACCAUAAACUAUGACCGACUAGGAAUCGGGCGAGUGUUGAACAAAUGAACGCGCUCGGCUACCG